AGUGUUGAAAUAAGAGGGUGUACCGGUAUGCACUGUCUUAUGGAGCUUUCAGGAGGGGUUGUGCAGCGAUACCUCAAACCGGUGUAGGCUAUAGCCGAAUGAAAAUGCUCU
This 111-nucleotide small RNA is filed under the name pig gut metagenome. Its description in RNAcentral is "drum RNA". It matches the Rfam family "drum RNA". From Rfam's summary of the family: Firmicutes, Bacteroidetes (1 example), Proteobacteria (2 examples), Spirochaetes (2 examples). The record is from RNAcentral.